UGGAGAUGUUGAUCUGGAGGCUUUUGGGGUUGUGCUCGAUUUCCCGUCAGCAGAGAGAUAGCGGGGAUGGGAGGCAUGUAAGCUUUGCUGUUGCUCCCAGGGCUUUUGCUGGUGCUCCCAGGGCAGGGAAGGAGAGUCUCUGCAGGUCCCUAAAGUAGAAAUGGAUCCCAACGUGCAAUGGAAACCUUUCUCAUCUCUGCUUGCUUCUAGAUGAAAGUGGUGGCAAUGGUCAUCCUGCUUAUCCACUGGAUCUUGGCAUGCAUCCCUUAGGGCUUCCUGCAGGUCUUCCAAGGGAGAAGAACGCAAUUGAAGAAGAGAAAAUGACCCUGGAGCCACCUGAAGUCCUCAUGGACAUUCUCAAAAAGAUGCAUGCACUACACGGUGGGUGUAUUUCACUCUGCGGUAGCCGUGGGACUUGCUCCACACCUGGACGGGCUGUAGCCUGCAGAGCAGGAAGGGAUCCAUCAGAGCCUCGCCGCAGCCACGCUGGGUUUCAGCCCUUGCGGGCGCUUCCGAGCCCCAGGGAUGGUCCAGGGCCUCUGCGGCCAGUGGUGGCCACAGCCGGGUGCCAGGGGCAGCCGCUGCCCCACUGGGACCAUGAGGACUCAGAGCUGUUUGCGCAGAGGUCGGGGACAGAUUUGGGGUCCUGGCACGUGCUGCACUUGUGUCCAGCUGCCCCACAGCUCUGCUGGCGCAAUGGGCCAGGGCCAGGGGGGAGAGCGGGGUCCCAAGCAAGGCUUGCUGCCCUAUCCUAGUCCUGCAAGUCAGCUGGAGAUGCUGAUUUGGAAGCUUUUGGGGCUCUGCUCGAUUUCCUGUCUGCAGAGCGACAGCUGGGAUGGGAGGAAUAUAGGCUUUGCUGGUGCUCCCAGGGCAGGGCAGGAAGUUCUGGUGGAAGAGCCCUUCCCCCGGCUGGCCUGGCUGCUGCAGCUUCUUCCCCUCGUCUUGGAAGGCUGCCGUUUAGCAUCAUCUUGCAGUUGGCCAAAAACGCAGUAGAUGUAAAUCAGUGUUGGAGCAGUGACUGGGCACAAGCCCAGAAGCCCAGGCCUUCCAUCUCACUUUCUUGGGUGUCUUGGAGAAGUACCGACUCAUCAAGCUCUCAAUAAUUCACCCUUAUGUGUCCAGUCCAGAUCCACCUGACCCCCUGAAAGAUGGACCCAACGCCAGCAGCCGUUGCUUCCACCUGCAUCACCGGCACCACGACCGGCCUCCCGGGAGCCCCUGCGCCCCACAGGCCUCUCCCCGGCCAGCCUGGACCAACAGCAGAAGCUGUCCAGCCCCGGCCAGCUCCCGACCCCACCAAAAGAGCCCCCGUGCCACACCACCCCACAAUGUCAAGAAGCCUUGAUGGAGGCUCAAUCCCCACUCGGCGCUGGGGCUGCUCCUCAAAUGCACCCAGUGGGACAGUUUCACUGAAUUUCACUGAAUUUCACUGAAUUUUUGGAGUUGGAAGGGUCCGUAGAGAUCAUCUAAUCCAACUCCCUUGCUGAAGCAGGAUUGCCUAGAGCUAGAGCAUGUUACUCAGGACCACAUCCAGGCGGGUCUUGGAAAUCUCCAAAGAAGGGGACUCCACGACCUCCCUGGGCAGCCUCUUCCAGGGCUCUGUCACCCUCACUGUGAAGAAGCUUUUUCUCAUAUUUGAGUGGAAGCUCCUAUGUUCCAACUUGUGCCCGUUACUCCUCGUCCUCUCACUGGCAACUGCUGAAAAGAGUCUGGCUCCCUCCUCCUUCAAACCACCCUUUAGGUACUUAUAGGCAU
This 1755-nucleotide long non-coding RNA is filed under the name Calidris pugnax (ruff). RNAcentral describes it as "lncRNA (ENSCPUG00000006040.1)". Lineage: Eukaryota; Metazoa; Chordata; Aves; Charadriiformes; Scolopacidae. The record is from RNAcentral.